UAUAUCAAAACCAGAGUCUUCUUGAAGUGAAUGAGUCGAUGAUUAAGCGCUGACUUAAUGUUAUAAUACAAAACAACUUAUUCAGGGUUUGAGAUAUUGGCGUAAUCUUGCAACCAGCUUCUGAGCCAAGAGGGUCAUGAAUUUUCUGGCAGAAGGUUAAACGACUGAAUACUGCAUUUUCUGAUCAUUCAAUUUCUAGAACCUAUGAGCAGUGCCAGAAAGUUUCUGGAAGAACUUCAUCUUGGUGUAAAAUAAGACGAUCCGCCAACCACGAACUCCCACUUAUCAAUGGAACUAUGUUUGUAGAAGGGUUAUUAUCCUGUACACUCUGUAUCAAACAUUUUAUACAAGCUAGAAGCAUUGCCAGAAGAUUCUAGAAGAACUCAUCUUCGAGUAUUAUAAGACAAUCAACCAUCCACGAAUUUCCACCUAUUUUGCACUUAAAGCACUGCAAUUCGUAGCUAAGAGAUGAAACAUAAGAGAUGUAGUUCUAGAGAAAAGCCAAAAAUUGGAUCAAGAAACAGACUUGUGGAAAAAUAUCAAAUCUUUUGAAUGGUAUACUGCAACUUCGGACAUAAUUAACGUAUAUCGUUUCUUAGGUUGACUCCUUUCCCUAGAGCCGAUCUCAUAGCCAACAAACUUUGUGAAUUAAAAGAAGUUAUGUGGUGAGUAAAACAGGUAUAGACCAAUUACAUUGACAAUGUUGUCUUUCCCUUGACAGCGUGAUAUCCCAACCAUUGCAUGUAUGCGCCCACUCAUGUACACAUGCAUAUAUUCAUUUUUGCAUACAUAGAUACAUACAUAUACACAUACAUACAUACAUUCAUACAGGGGCGGACCCAGCAAAAAAAGUUGGUGGGGGCAAAAUGUUAUAGGGAUGAAUCGAACAUGGGUUUCUAGCGAAAAUUUGAAGGAUAUGAAACCAUUUGGCCAUGCCACUUAAUUUGUUUAGUACUAAUUUUUUGUUAAUUUAGAUAUUAGUGGUGGCAGGUGCCUCCACCUUCCUUAACGUGGAUCCGCCAAU
This is a long non-coding RNA of Arabidopsis thaliana (thale cress), 1024 nucleotides long. RefSeq annotates it as other RNA. The record is from RefSeq. NCBI's taxonomy places the organism in Eukaryota, Viridiplantae, Streptophyta, Magnoliopsida, Brassicales, Brassicaceae. The transcript has 6 exons.